RNAcentral lists this ribosomal RNA (253 nucleotides) under uncultured bacterium. Its description in RNAcentral is "partial 16S ribosomal RNA". It matches the Rfam family "Bacterial small subunit ribosomal RNA", at positions 524 to 776 of the family's 1533-position model. The record is from RNAcentral.
UACGUAGGCAGCAAGCGUUGUUCGGAAUUACUGGGCGUAAAGAGUGUGUAGGCGGUGCUCUAAGUUCGGUGUGAAAUCUCCUGGCUUAACUGGGAGGGUGCGCCGGAAACUGGAAUGCUCGAACGUGGGAGAGGAAAGCGGAAUUCCUGGUGUAGCGGUGAAAUGCGUAGAUAUCAGGAGGAACACCUGUGGUGUAGACGGCUUUCUGGACCAUUGUUGACGCUGAGACACGAAAGCGUGGGUAGCAAACAGG